AAUAGCUUUCAGGGCAGGGUGAGAUUCCCGACCGGCGGUAGAGUCCGCGAGCUGCGUUGCAGUUGACUUGGUGAAAUUCCAAGACCGACAGUAAAGUCUGGAUGAAAGAAAGUGAUU
Molecule: non-coding RNA, 117 nt
Filed under: Andreesenia angusta
Lineage: Bacteria; Bacillati; Bacillota; Tissierellia; Tissierellales; Gottschalkiaceae
Description: Eubacterium angustum FMN sequence
Rfam family: FMN riboswitch aptamer (RFN element)
About the family: The RFN element is a highly conserved domain that is found frequently in the 5'-untranslated regions of prokaryotic mRNAs that encode for flavin mononucleotide (FMN) biosynthesis and transport proteins. This element is a metabolite-dependent riboswitch that directly binds FMN in the absence of proteins. In Bacillus subtilis, the riboswitch most likely controls gene expression by causing premature transcription termination within the 5' untranslated region of the ribDEAHT operon and precluding access to the ribosome-binding site of ypaA mRNA.
Source: Rfam by way of RNAcentral